RNAcentral lists this transfer RNA (72 nucleotides) under Chthoniobacter flavus. RNAcentral's name for it is "tRNA-Val". It matches the Rfam family "tRNA". Rfam says of the family: Transfer RNA (tRNA) molecules are approximately 80 nucleotides in length. Their secondary structure includes four short double-helical elements and three loops (D, anti-codon, and T loops). The record is from RNAcentral. RNAcentral also lists the same sequence under 1 other name. Lineage: Bacteria; Pseudomonadati; Verrucomicrobiota; Spartobacteria; Chthoniobacterales; Chthoniobacteraceae.
GCGGCGUUAGCUCAGUGGUAGAGCGGCGCUUUUACACAGCGUUGGUCGGGGGUUCGAAUCCCUCACGCCGCA